CCUACGGGAGGCAGCAGUAGGGAAUCUUCCACAAUGGGCGCAAGCCUGAUGGAGCAACACCGCGUGAGUGAAGAAGGGUUUCGGCUCGUAAAGCUCUGUUGUUGGAGAAGAACGUGCGUGAGAGUAACUGUUCACGCAGUGACGGUAUCCAACCAGAAAGUCACGGCUAACUACGUGCCAGCAGCCGCGGUAAUACGUAGGUGGCAAGCGUUAUCCGGAUUUAUUGGGCGUAAAGCGAGCGCAGGCGGUUGCUUAGGUCUGAUGUGAAAGCCUUCGGCUUAACCGAAGAAGUGCAUCGGAAACCGGGCAACUUGAGUGCAGAAGAGGACAGUGGAACUCCAUGUGUAGCGGUGGAAUGCGUAGAUAUAUGGAAGAACACCAGUGGCGAAGGCGGCUGUCUGGUCUGCAACUGACACUGAGGCUCGAAAGCAUGGGUAGCAAACAGGAUUAGAUACCCGAGUAGUC
RNAcentral lists this ribosomal RNA (465 nucleotides) under uncultured bacterium. Its description in RNAcentral is "partial 16S ribosomal RNA". It matches the Rfam family "Bacterial small subunit ribosomal RNA", at positions 338 to 795 of the family's 1533-position model. The record is from RNAcentral.